UUCGCAAUGCCCGAAAGGGUGACGAAGCGACGCCGCGUGUGGGAAGAAGGCCUUCGGGUUGUAAACCACUGUCGGGAGUUAAGAAAUACAAGGAUAUUAAUAGUGUCUUUGUUUGACUAAGGCUCCGGAGGAAGCCACGGCUAACUCUGUGCCAGCAGCCGCGGUAAUACAGAGGCGGCAAGCGUUGUUCGGAAUUAUUGGGCGUAAAGAGCACGUAGGCGGCUAUGUAAGUCGGUUGUGAAAGCCUUCCGCUCAACGGAAGAACAGCAUCCGAUACUACAUGGCUUGAGUGCGGGAGGGGAGAGUGGAACUUCUGGUGGAGCGGUGGAAUGCGUAGAUAUCAGAAGGAACGCCGGCGGCGAAAGCGGCUCUCUGGCCCAUAACUGACGCUGAGUGUGCGAAAGCUAGGGGAGCAAACGGGAUUAGAUACCCCGGUAGUCCUAGCCGUAAACGAUGGGCACUAAGUAGAGGGGUUUUA
Molecule: ribosomal RNA, 478 nt
Filed under: uncultured Planctomycetales bacterium
Lineage: Bacteria; Pseudomonadati; Planctomycetota; Planctomycetia; Planctomycetales
Description: bacterial SSU rRNA
Rfam family: Bacterial small subunit ribosomal RNA
Source: RNAcentral